RNAcentral lists this ribosomal RNA (301 nucleotides) under uncultured bacterium. Its description in RNAcentral is "partial 16S ribosomal RNA". It matches the Rfam family "Bacterial small subunit ribosomal RNA", at positions 509 to 807 of the family's 1533-position model. The record is from RNAcentral.
CAGCCGCCGCGGUAAUACGUAGGUGGCAAGCGUUGUCCGGAAUUAUUGGGCGUAAAGGGCUCGCGGGCGGUUUCUUAAGUCUGAUGUGAAAGCCCCCGGCUCAACCGGGGAGGGUCAUUGGAAACUGGGAAACUUGAGUGCAGAAGAGGAGAGUGGAAUUCCACGUGUAGCGGUGAAAUGCGUAGAGAUGUGGAGGAACACCAGUGGCGAAGGCGACUCUCUGGUCUGUAACUGACGCUGAGGAGCGAAAGCGUGGGGAGCGAACAGGAUUAGAUACCCCUGUAGUCCCUGUCUCUUAUAC